RNAcentral lists this ribosomal RNA (106 nucleotides) under uncultured bacterium. RNAcentral's name for it is "partial 16S ribosomal RNA". It matches the Rfam family "Bacterial small subunit ribosomal RNA", at positions 1379 to 1482 of the family's 1533-position model. The record is from RNAcentral.
CCUUGUACACACCGCCCGUCACACCACCCGAGUUGGGGAUACCCGAAGCCGCUAGACUAACCUGCAAAGGAGGUCGGCGUCUAAGGAAUGCCUGGUGAGGGGGGUG